This 847-nucleotide ribosomal RNA is filed under the name uncultured bacterium. RNAcentral's name for it is "bacterial SSU rRNA". It matches the Rfam family "Bacterial small subunit ribosomal RNA", at positions 28 to 896 of the family's 1533-position model. The record is from RNAcentral.
GAUGAACGCUGGCGGCGUGCCUAAUACAUGCAAGUCGAACGGAGAGCAGCAAUGCUCUUAGUGGCGAACGGGUGAGUAACGCGAUGGUGACCUGCCCUGGAGUGUGGGAUAACAGGCCGAAAGGCUUGCUAAUACCGCAUGGUCAACUGGGAGAUUAGAAACCUGGUUGUAAAGGAGAAAUCCGCUCUAGGAGGGGCCUGCGUCCCAUCAGCUAGUUGGUAAGGUAACGGCUUACCAAGGCGAUGACGGGUAGGGGACCUGAGAGGGUGACCCCCCACAAUGGAACUGAAACACGGUCCAUACACCUACGGGUGGCAGCAGUAGGGAAUAUUGCAUAAUGGGCGAAAGCCUGAUGCAGCAACGCCGCGUGCGCGAUGAAGGCCUUCGGGUUGUAAAGCGCUUUUGGCUGGGAAGAGGAAGGACGGUACCAGCAGAAUAAGCCUCGGCUAACUACGUGCCAGCAGCCGCGGUAAAACGUAGGAGGCGAGCGUUAUCCGGAUUUACUGGGUGUAAAGCGCGUGCAGGCGGUUUGUUAAGAUGGGUGUGAAAGCUCCUGGCUCAACUGGGAGAGGUCGCUCAAGACUGGCAGACUCGAGAGCAGUAGGGGAAGGUGGAAUUCCGGGUGUAGUGGUGAAAUGCGUAGAUAUCCGGAGGAACACCAGUGGCGAAAGCGGCCUUCUGGACUGCAUCUGACGCUCAGACGCGAAAGCUAGGGUAGCAAACGGGAUUAGAGACCCCGGUAGUCCUAGCCGUAAACGAUGUGAACUUGGCGUUGGGCGGGUAAAACCGCACAGUGCCGCAGCAAACGCGAUAAGUUCACCACCUGGGGACUACGGCCGCAAGGUUA